UACGGAGGGUGCAAGCGUUAUCCGGAAUUAUUGGGUUUAAAGGGUCCGUAGGCGGCUAGAUAAGUCAGUGGUGAAAUUCUCUCGCUCAACGAGAGACCUGCCAUUGAUACUGUCUUGGCUAGAGUUACAGUGAGGUGAGUGGAAUGUGUAGUGUAGCGGUGAAAUGCAUAGAUAUUACACAGAACACCGAUUGCGAAGGCAGCUCACUAACUGUAUACUGACGCUGAUGGACGAAAGCGUGGGGAGCAAACAGGAUUAGAAACCCCAGUAGUCC
This 274-nucleotide ribosomal RNA is filed under the name uncultured bacterium. RNAcentral describes it as "partial 16S ribosomal RNA". It matches the Rfam family "Bacterial small subunit ribosomal RNA", at positions 524 to 796 of the family's 1533-position model. The record is from RNAcentral.